Molecule: RNA transcript, 5224 nt
Organism: Piliocolobus tephrosceles (Ugandan red Colobus)
Lineage: Eukaryota; Metazoa; Chordata; Mammalia; Primates; Cercopithecidae
Gene: TARBP1
Gene name: tRNA guanosine 2 -O-methyltransferase TARBP1
Exons: 31
Source: RefSeq, a predicted model, not a curated record
UUUGGGAGCCCGGGCCGGUGGCGCGGGCGCUCGGCAAAUGGAGUGGGUGCUCGCGGAAGCGCUGCUCUCGCAGAGCCGGGACCCCCGGGCCCUGCUUGGGGCGCUGUGCCAAGGGGAGGCAUCCGCGGAGCGCGUGGAGACGCUGCGCUUCCUUCUGCAGCGGCUCGAGGACGAGGAGGCGCGCGGCGGCGGGGGCGCAGGCGCGCUCCCGGAGGCGGCGCGCGAGGUGGCCGCAGGGUACCUCGUGCCACUGCUGCGGAGCCUGCGCGGGCGCCCAGCGGACGGCCCGGACCCCGGUCUGCAGCCUCGCCACCGCCGGCGCGUGCUGAGGGCGGCGGGCGCGGCCCUCCGCUCGUGCGCCCGCCUGGCUGGGGGUCCGCAGCUGGCGGCCGCCCUGGCAGAGGAAGCGCUGCGCGAUCUGCUCGCCGGGUGGCGCGCGUCUGGCGCCGAGGCUGCGGUGGAGGUGCUGGCGGCGGUCGGGCCCUGUUUGCGGCCACGCGAGGACGGGCCGCUGCUGGAGCGCGUGGCAGGGGCCGCCGUCGCCCUGGCGCUAGGCGGGGGCGGGGACGGGGAUGAGGCCGGGCCCGCCGAGGACGCAGCGGCGCUGGUGGCCGGGCGACUGCUGCCAGUGCUGGUCCAAUGCGGCGGGGCGGCGCUGCGGGCCGUGUGGGGCGGGCUGGCGGCUCCCGGGACGUCCCCGGGGUCGGGCCGCGUAGAGGAGAAACUGUUGGUCCUGAGCGCCCUGGCGGAGAAGCUGCUACCCGAACCCGGCGGCGAUCGCCCCCGCAGCGCGCGCGAGGCGGGCCCGGACGCCCGGCGCUGCUGGCGCUUCUGGAGGACCGUGCAGGCGGGCCUGGGCCAGGCGGACGCCCUGACGCGCAAGCGAGCGCGCUACCUACUGCAGAGGGCGGUAGAGGUGUCGGCGGAGCUGGGGACCGACUGCACUUGCGGGCCCCAGGAAGGAAACGGCCCAAGUCUGUUUUGGUGGUCUGAGAAGAAAAAAGAUGAACUUCUAAAGUUUUGGGAAAAUUAUAUUUUAAUUAUGGAGACUUUAGAAGGAAAUCAGAUACAUGUUAUAAAGCCAGUUUUACCAAAGCUAAACAAUCUGUUUGAAUAUGCGGUGUCAGAGGAAAAUGGAUGCUGGCUCUUUCACCCAUCCUGGCAUAUGUGUAUUUAUAAAAGAAUGUUUGAAAGUGAAAACAAAAUCCUGACUAAAGAAGGUGUUAUCCAUUUUUUGGAGCUGUAUGAAACAAAGAUUCUUCCAUUUUCACCAGAAUUUUCUGAGUUUAUUAUUGGACCAUUAAUGGAUGCACUUUCAGAGAGCUCUUUGUAUAGCAGGUCCCCAGGCCAGCCGAUAGGAAGCUGUUCUCCAUUGGGACUGAAAUUACAGAAGUUUUUAGUCACGUAUAUUUCUCUUCUUCCAGGAGACAUAAAGAGUAACUUCCUAUUGAAGUUUAUUCGGAAGAUGACAAGUAGGCAUUGGUGUGCUGUUCCCAUUUUAUUUCUAUCUAAGGCUUUGGCAAAUGUCCCAAAAUAUAAGGCCCUGGGUAUAGAUGGGCUUCUUGCUCUCAGGGAUGUUAUUCAUUGCACUAUGAUCACACAUCAGAUUCUCCUGAGAGGGGCAGCCCAAUGCUACCUUCUUCAAACAGCUAUGAAUUUGCUAGAUGUGGAGAAAGUGUCACUUUCUGAUGUCUCAACUUUUCUCAUGUCUCUGAGACAAGAGGAGUCCUUAGGACGAGGAACUUCAUUGUGGACAGAGCUGUGUGACUGGCUACGUGUUAAUGAAAGCUAUUUUAAGCCAUCCCCAAUGUGUAGCUCCAUUGGACUUCACAAGACGUCUUUAAAUGCUUAUGUGAAGAGCCUUAUUCAAGAGUAUGUUAAGUCAUCUGCUUGGGAAACAGGAGAAAACUGCUUUAUGCCUGAUUGGUUUGAAGCCAAGCUUGUUUCUCUGAUGAUCUUGCUGGCUGUGGAUGUGGAAGGAAUGAAGACUCAAUAUAGUGGAAAGCAGAAAACAGAGAAUGUAUUGCGGAUAUUCUUAGAUCCUCUUCUGGAUGUGCUUAUGAAGUUUGGUACCAAUGCCUACAUGCCCUUGCUGAAGACUGACAGAUGCCUCCAGUUGCUGUUGAAGCUGUUGAACACAUGCAGGUUGAAAGGUUCCAGUGCCCAAGAUGAUGAGGUGUUUACUGUUCUGCAGAACUUUGUCAUGUCUACUACAGAGAGCAUUUCUGAAUUUAUUCUCAGACGACUUACUAUGAAUGAGCUAAAUAGUGUUUCAGAUCUGGACCGUUGCCAUUUAUACCUGAUGGUGUUAACCGAGCUUAUAAAUCUGCAUUUGAAGGUUGGGUGGAAAAGAGGUAACCCUAUUUGGAGAGUUAUUUCUCUUUUGAAAAAUGCGUCCAUUCAGCAUCUUCAAGAGAUGGACAGUGGACAGGAGCCAACACUUGGAAGUCAGAUUCAGAGAGUAGUGAGCAUGGCUGCCUUGGCCAUGGUGUGUGAGGCCAUAGACCAGAAGCCUGAGCUGCAGCUGGACUCUCUCCAUGCUGGGCCCCUGGAAAGCUUCCUUUCCUCUCUUCAGCUCAAUCAGACGCUGCAGAAGCCCCAUGCAGAGGAGCAGAGCAGUUAUGCUCCCCCCUCGGAGUGUACCAGUGUUUUAGAAGAAUUGUCAUCUUCCCAAGGAUGGGGAAAAAUAGUUGCACAAUAUAUUCAUGAUCAAUGGGUGUGCCUCUCUUUCCUGUUGAAAAAAUAUCACACCCUUAUACCAAGCACAGGGAGUGAAAUUCUGGAACCGCUUCUGCCUGCCGUUCAGAUGCCAAUCAGGACUUUGCAGUCUGCACUAGAAGCCCUCACCGUUCUUUCUUCUGAUCAAGUUUUACCAGUGUUCCAUUGCUUGAAAGUGUUGGUUCCCAAGCUUCUGACCUCCUCUGAAUCACUCUGCAUAGAGGCUUUUGACAUGGCUUGGAAAAUUAUAUCUUCUUUAAGCAACACUCAGCUGAUAUUCUGGCCUAAUUUAAAAGCUUUUGUUCAGUUUGUGUUUGAUAACAAAGUUCUCACCAUUGCUGCCAAAAUCAAGGGCCAGGCAUAUUUCAAAAUAAAAGAGAUUAUGUACAAGAUAAUUGAAAUGUCUGCUAUAAAGACUGGAGUCUUCAAUACACUGAUAAGUUACUGCUGUCAGUCUUGGAUAGUGUCUGCUUCAAAUGUGUCCCAAGGAUCUUUAUCAAGUGCUAAAAAUUAUAGCGAACUUAUCCUUGAGGCUUGUAUAUUUGGAACUGUGUUUAGGCGUGAUCAAAGACUUGUUCAGGAUGUACAGACCUUCAUAGAAAACCUUGGACAUGACUGUGCGGCAAAUAUUGUUAUGGAAAAUACUAAGAGAGAAGACCAUUAUGUGAGAAUUUGUGCCAUCAAAUUCCUGUGUUUAUUAGAUGGCUCCAAUAUGUCCCAUAAGUUGUUUAUGGAAGAUCUUGCAAUCAAGCUAUUAGAUAAAGAUGAAUUCGUGUCCAAGUCCAAAAAACGCUACUAUGUGAAUUCUCUGCAGCACAGAGUGAAAAACCGCGUCUGGCAGACUCUGCUUGUACUUUUCCCUAGACUCGAUCAGAAUUUCUUGAAUGGAAUUAUUGACAGGAUUUUCCAGGCUGGUUUCACCAACAAUCAAGCAUCCAUAAAAUAUUUUAUAGAAUGGAUUAUUAUAUUGAUUCUUCACAAAUUCCCUCAAUUUCUUCCAAAGUUCUGGGAUUGUUUUUCUUAUGGUGAAGAAAAUCUUAAAACAAGCAUUUGUACAUUUCUAGCAGUUUUAUCACAUUUGGACGUUGUUACUCAAAACAUUCCAGAAAAGAAACUAAUUCUGAAGCAAGCCCUUAUUGUUGUGCUGCAGUGGUGCUUCAAUCACAAUUUUAGUGUUCGACUGUAUGCUUUAGUCGCUCUUAAGAAACUCUGGACUGUGUGUAAAGUGUUAAGUGUUGAAGAAUUUGAUGCCCUGGCUCCUGUGAUUGAAUCCAGCCUCCAUCAAGUGGAAAGCAUGCACGGGGCAGGGAAUGCCAAGAAGAAUUGGCAGCGCAUUCAAGAGCAUUUCUUUUUUGCAACAUUUCACCCACUCAAGGAUUAUUGUCUAGAGGCAGUGUCUGGCUUGUAAACAUGGAAGGGAAUAUUUAACUAAACAGAAAUCUGUUCUGACAUUAAAAGGAAAUGAGUGAGAACAUUUGUGCAGACCAUAUUUUACAUCCUUCCACGCCUUUCAGGCCUUAUUGAAGAUGAGUGGAUCACCAUUGAUAAAUUUACCAGAUUCACUGAUGUUCCUUUAGAUGCGGGAUUUCAGUGGUACCUUUCUCAAACUCAACUUAGUAAACUAAAACCAGGUGACUGGUCUCAGCAGGACAUAGGUACUAAUUUGGUCGAAGCAGAUAACCAAGCAGAGUGGACUGACGUUCAGAAGAAGAUUAUCCCGUGGAACAAUCGUGUGCCCGACUUAGACCUGGAGCUCCUGUUUCAGGAUCGUGCUGCCAGACUUGGAAAGUCAAUUAGUAGACUCAUCGUCGUGGCCUCGCUCAUCGACAAACCAACCAAUUUAGGAGGACUGUGCAGGACCUGUGAGGUAUUUGGGGCUUCGGCGCUCGUUGUUGGCAGCCUUCAAUGUAUCAGCGACAAACAGUUCCAGCACCUCAGUGUCUCCGCGGAACAGUGGCUUCCUCUAGUGGAGGUAAAACCACCUCACCUAAUUGAUUAUCUGCAGCAGAAGAAAACAGAAGGUUAUACCAUCAUUGGAGUGGAACAAACUGCCAAAAGUUUAGACCUAACCCAAUAUUGCUUUCCUGAGAAAUCGCUACUCUUGUUGGGAAAUGAACGUGAGGGAAUUCCAGCAAAUCUGAUCCAGCAGUUGGACGUUUGUGUGGAAAUUCCUCAACAGGGCAUUAUCCGCUCCCUGAAUGUCCACGUGAGUGGCGCCCUGCUGAUCUGGGAGUACACCAGGCAGCAGCUACUCUCACAGGGAGACACCAAGCCAUGAUGUGCCUUCCUCAGUGAAGUGCUGGUGCUGUUCAGACUUUUUUUAAAAAAACUAUUUGGACUAAAGAAACAGAUUCUGAAAUUUACUGUGAUAAUUUGUAUUUUUUCUUGCAAUUUAAUGCCAAAAGUUUACCAUGUGCCUUAAACAUAUUACUAUAUAUUUUCCCCUUUAAUAAACACUUUUUGUUAAAUUGUAUUCUUCCAUUAAUAAAAUAAGCAGUUGUGGAAA